UAUCAGUUUGAAACACCGGUUUCCGUACGAUCCCCAAAGUUAAGCAACGUUGAGUUUGGUCAGUAUGUAGUUGGUGAUCGCUUGGAAAUGCCAGCUGCUGUCGG
Non-coding RNA from Acanthosepion pharaonis, 104 nucleotides. NCBI's taxonomy places the organism in Eukaryota, Metazoa, Mollusca, Cephalopoda, Sepiida, Sepiidae. The record is from the annotation of a GenBank genome assembly.